Molecule: long non-coding RNA, 1561 nt
Organism: Tachysurus fulvidraco (yellow catfish)
Lineage: Eukaryota; Metazoa; Chordata; Actinopteri; Siluriformes; Bagridae
Exons: 2
Source: RefSeq, a predicted model, not a curated record
AUAAUCCCCACACUCGGUUGAAGGUUUUGGGUAGUCCACCCCAUCCUUCUAGUCAGAGAAACUCCUCUCUUGCGAAAGUGUAAAAAAAAAAAAAAAAAAAAAGGAAGAUUGUUGAAAUUUGUUGCCGUUAUAUUUACACGUUCAGUGUCUAAUAAGAAGGUCAAGUAUAGUCAUGUUGGUUUGUUUGCUUCCGCGUGUGUUAAAUAAAGAAAAGAAAAGUAAGAAUCUUAUUUGUGAAAGGGGGAUGUAGUAUUAUGUUACUUACGGUAAUGUUAUGAGGCAUGCAGUAUGCUUGGGAACCUAUAUUGGGGGUGUUACGGGACUGGGGGAGGAGAAUAAAAGUUCGUUUAAGAAGUUAUGGUCGGCUGUCGCGUGGUUCAUUAUGAAAGGUUUAUGUUGUACCUAUUAAACGACAGAACAUUAAGUGUGUUAAGGUAUGUGGCAGCUCAGUGGUUCGAACCCCAGGUCCACCAAGCUGCCACUGCUGGCCCCCUGAGCAAGGCCCUUAACCCUCAUUUGCUCAGUUUGUAAGUCACUCUGGAUGAGGGCAAUCUAAUAAAAUGUGUUUGACAGAUAAGAUAAUAGGAAUCUUACAAAACGAAUGUGACAUGUGCAAUAUCUUUUUAGGUUUGGUUUUUAUUUUGAUGGGGGGAUUCCGGGUCCGGAGACACGCCCACUGCUGCUGAGCUGCGCAUCGACAUGGAGCACACCUGUGCCACAUAAUUAGUGCAGCAUGCUAGUGGCUUUAUAAAAAGCACAUUGGAGUGGGGCUGUUUAAUUUCUCUUCCGUGUACAUCUUGUGUGGGCAGAAAAGGUCUUUUGGCUAUAUUUUCCUGUCGCUUUCCCCUGGUGCGGCCAAAGAGCGCUAGCUGCUGUUUCUAAUGGCUGUUUUUAGCUGCUGUUUCUAGCUGCCGUUUUAUUACGGCUAUUUUCUUAGUUGCUGUUCUGAUUAUUGCUGUUUGUUUUUAUGUAUAUUUUUCAGAGCUGUUUUAAACUUGACUCAUUUGGGUUACAGUCGGCAUAGUGCGGACGUUGCAGCGGUGAACACUAUAUCUUGAAUACUGGGAUGAUACGUCAGUACUGCAUUGCUGAAUAUUUAUUCUGAGUACAAGUUUAUCUAGGUUUAUCAAGUUUAUUUAGGUUUUGUAUUUCUUUCUUUCAAACCGUUUUGGUGCUCUUUAAAUGAAUCUGUUUUUACCGGUUAUCACUGGACUGUCAUUUGUAUUGUUUCUCUUUUCUUUUGUUUGAGUGUCUGUUUACCGCAUAUAUAUCCACCUCUGACUAUCGGACAACGAACUGUGAUUAGUGAGGCUUAACAGAGGGAUUGUAUGUUUGUCGUCCUUUUGGUUUAUCCCUUUUUUUUUUCUUGCUUUAUCAGUUGUUUAUUAUGCACUGCUUUGUGUGGUGUGUCCCUCUUUGUUAAGGCGGACCUAGUCUAGUUGUUUUCUCCAUUGUUGGUAACUAAUCGGUAAACUGUACACUUGUAUCUUAAUGUUUUUAAGAGCAAAUGGUUUUUCUUUUUCUUGUUUUUGUAAAAUAAAGUUGUACUCAUUUUUGGAAA